Podarcis lilfordi (Lilford's wall lizard) is the source of this 73-nucleotide non-coding RNA. The record is from the annotation of a GenBank genome assembly. NCBI's taxonomy places the organism in Eukaryota, Metazoa, Chordata, Lepidosauria, Squamata, Lacertidae.
GCUAGGAUAGCUCAAGCAGGAGAGCAGGAGACUCUUAAUCUUGGGGUUGUGGGUUUGAGUCCCACGUUGGGCA